CCUCGGCUGAGUGGUCCACUAUUAGUCGGUACUGCUCUGGUCGAGGCUCACCUUCUGGAGAUCCGUCAUGUCCUUCAUUGGAUGUGGCGAGGAACCAGGACUUUUACUUUGAAAAAAUUAGAGUGUUUAAAGCAGGCAUUUGCUUGAAUAGAUUAGCAUGGAAUAAUGGAAUAGGACCUUGGUUCUAUUUUGUUGGUUUCUAGGACCUCGGUA
RNAcentral lists this ribosomal RNA (213 nucleotides) under Mucoromycotina sp. MIB 8553.2. RNAcentral's name for it is "partial small subunit ribosomal RNA". The stretch from base 90 to 213 matches the Rfam family "Eukaryotic small subunit ribosomal RNA", at positions 738 to 864 of the family's 1831-position model. RNAcentral also lists the same sequence under 1 other name. Lineage: Eukaryota; Fungi; Mucoromycota; Endogonomycetes; Endogonales; Densosporaceae. The record is from RNAcentral.